GCGAGGGUGGCAGAGCCUGGCCAAAUGCGCUAGCUUGAGGGGCUAGUCCCGAAGGGGUGCGCAGGUUCGAAUCCUGCCUCUCGCA
This 85-nucleotide transfer RNA is filed under the name Nanobdellota archaeon. RNAcentral describes it as "Nanoarchaeota archaeon tRNA-Leu". It matches the Rfam family "tRNA". From Rfam's summary of the family: Transfer RNA (tRNA) molecules are approximately 80 nucleotides in length. Their secondary structure includes four short double-helical elements and three loops (D, anti-codon, and T loops). Further hydrogen bonds mediate the characteristic L-shaped molecular structure. tRNAs have two regions of fundamental functional importance: the anti-codon, which is responsible for specific mRNA codon recognition, and the 3' end, to which the tRNAs corresponding amino acid is attached (by aminoacyl-tRNA synthetases). tRNAs cope with the degeneracy of the genetic code in two manners: having more than one tRNA (with a specific anti-codon) for a particular amino acid; and 'wobble' base-pairing, i.e. permitting non-standard base-pairing at the 3rd anti-codon position. Lineage: Archaea; Nanobdellati; Nanobdellota. The record is from RNAcentral.